RNAcentral lists this ribosomal RNA (266 nucleotides) under uncultured bacterium. RNAcentral describes it as "partial 16S ribosomal RNA". It matches the Rfam family "Bacterial small subunit ribosomal RNA", at positions 793 to 1055 of the family's 1533-position model. The record is from RNAcentral.
GUCCACGCUGUAAACGAUGAGAACUAGGUGUCGUGGGUGUUGACCCCCGCGGUGCCGUAGCUAACGCAUUAAGUUCUCCGCCUGGGAAGUACGGUCGCAAGAUUAAAACUCAAAGGAAUUGACGGGGGCCCGCACAAGCGGUGGAGCAUGUGGUUUAAUUCGACGCAACGCGCAGAACCUUACCCAGACUUGACAUCCUGGAAAGCUGGCCCAAAAGUCGGCGUGCCCGCAAGGGAAUCCAGAGACAGGUGCUGCAUGGCUGUCGU